GACGAACGCUGGCGGCGUGCUUAACACACGCAAGUCGAACGGAAAGGCCCUGCUUUUGUGGGGUGCUCGAGUGGCGAACGGGUGAGUAACACGUGAGUAACCUGCCCUUGACUUUGGGAUAACUUCAGGAAACUGGGGCUAAUACCGGAUAGGAGCUCCUGCUGCAUGGUGGGGGUUGGAAAGUUUCGGCGGUUGGGGAUGGACUCGCGGGUUAUCAGCUUGUUGGUGGGGUAGUGGCUUACCAAGGCUUUGACGGGUAGCCGGCCUGAGAGGGUGACCGGCCACAUUGGGACUGAGAGACGGCCCAGACGCCUACGGGAGGCAGCAGUGGGGAAUAUUGCACAAUGGGCGGAAGCCUGAUGCAGCAACGCCGCGUGCGGGAUGACGGCCUUCGGGUUGUAAACCGCUUUCGCCUGUGACGAAGCGUGAGUGACGGUAAUGGGUAAAGAAGCACCGGCUAACUACGUG
RNAcentral lists this ribosomal RNA (468 nucleotides) under uncultured bacterium. RNAcentral describes it as "partial 16S ribosomal RNA". It matches the Rfam family "Bacterial small subunit ribosomal RNA", at positions 28 to 507 of the family's 1533-position model. The record is from RNAcentral.